RNAcentral lists this ribosomal RNA (397 nucleotides) under uncultured bacterium. RNAcentral describes it as "partial 16S ribosomal RNA". It matches the Rfam family "Bacterial small subunit ribosomal RNA", at positions 523 to 918 of the family's 1533-position model. The record is from RNAcentral.
AUACGUAGGGGGCGAGCGUUGUCCGGAAUGAUUGGGCGUAAAGGGCGCGUAGGCGGCGCGGUAAGUCUGGAGUGAAAGUCCUGCUUUCAAGGUGGGAAUUGCUUUGGAUACUGCCGCGCUUGAGUGCAGGAGAGGUUAUCGGAAUUCCCGGUGUAGCGGUGAAAUGCGUAGAGAUCGGGAGGAACACCAGUGGCGAAGGCGGGUAACUGGACUGCAACUGACGCUGAGGCGCGAAAGUGUGGGGAGCAAACAGGAUUAGAUACCCUGGUAGUCCACGCUGUAAACGAUGAAUGCUAGGUGUAAGAGGUAUCGACCCCUUUUGUGCCGGAGUCAACACAAUAAGCAUUCCGCCUGGGGAGUACGGCCGCAAGGUUGAAACUCAAAGGAAUUGACGGGG